Molecule: unclassified non-coding RNA, 259 nt
Filed under: Hevea brasiliensis (rubber tree)
Lineage: Eukaryota; Viridiplantae; Streptophyta; Magnoliopsida; Malpighiales; Euphorbiaceae
Source: RNAcentral
CCCCAUCACUAUCACCAAGAAACAUUGCAGCAGGAUAAGUCGGCAACUGGAUAUUUACAAUUAGAAGAGAAGGGAUUUUUCCUUCAACUUUUACAUGAGGGAGCUCAAGGUGUAGUGCAAUGUGAUUAACCUUUCUAGGGCAGAUAAACAUAUCAACACCAAUUGGAGUAUAUGGACUGCAAUUUGAAGCAGGGCACUUCCUCUUAUCUUUGAAAUAGGUCUCGCCACGAAGUUUGAAAUUUGAGGGAGGAAUCUCACA